This 248-nucleotide ribosomal RNA is filed under the name uncultured Gardnerella sp. Its description in RNAcentral is "partial 16S ribosomal RNA". It matches the Rfam family "Bacterial small subunit ribosomal RNA", at positions 107 to 354 of the family's 1533-position model. Lineage: Bacteria; Bacillati; Actinomycetota; Actinomycetes; Bifidobacteriales; Bifidobacteriaceae. The record is from RNAcentral.
UGAGUAAUGCGUGACCAACCUGCCCCAUGCUCCAGAAUAGCUCUUGGAAACGGGUGGUAAUGCUGGAUGCUCCAACUUGACGCAUGUCUUGUUGGGAAAGUGUUUAGUGGCAUGGGAUGGGGUCGCGUCCUAUCAGCUUGUAGGCGGGGUAAUGGCCCACCUAGGCUUCGACGGGUAGCCGGCCUGAGAGGGCGGACGGCCACAUUGGGACUGAGAUACGGCCCAGACUCCUACGGGAGGCAGCAGAG